Scylla paramamosain (green mud crab) is the source of this 3842-nucleotide RNA transcript. It is a transcript of the gene named docking protein 1-like, with no coding region annotated. The record is from RefSeq and is a predicted model, not a curated record. NCBI's taxonomy places the organism in Eukaryota, Metazoa, Arthropoda, Malacostraca, Decapoda, Portunidae. The transcript has 14 exons.
AAUCUCUUCUCUCAGUGUCGGCACUACUAUUAGUCACGGUGAAUGUUGUGCUCUUGAAGUCUAUAAUUCUUGUUGUUUCUGCCCAAAGGACCUCCAGGUGCCAUGAAUUACUUGACGAAGAAGCAGGGCGUGCUGUUCUACCUCUGCAAGAGAUCUUUCAUGAUGCAGAAGUACAAGGAAUGCUACGCAGUGCUGCACGACGCCUCAAGGAGCGGCCUAGCGCGCCUCGAGCUCCAACGGAUAUGUAUGUCUCGUAACAAACACGUCCUCCUCGUGACCAGGAAAGACAUCAUCAAAGUGUUACAAGAUGAGAAAUGUUCGCAAAGCGAAGGACGCGGGUUUACGCUGACAACCAGAGAACACCAGCACUACUUCCUGGCCAGGAACGUCACGGAUAGCCGGAAAUGGGUUGAGGCAAUCCAGGACACUUUCUUGAAGCCUGCCAUCCGCGUCCAACCCUCGGUCAGCCCUCAACAAGCCACCGUGCAUGAAAACGAGGUCUACGGGAUGGACGAAUAUAGCAAGAAAGAAACGCGAGAAUUCACCGUUGAGGUGGAGGAGAAUAGUCGGCUGAAGCUGAAGGUGAUGAGUAGUACCGUGCGGCUUUUGGUGCAGGAUCGCCACAUCACCCUCAUCUCCAUGGAGGGCAAGAGGAUUGUGCACUGGGCUAUCAGUAACAUGCGAAAAAUUGGCUUCAACACUGACAAUUUCUACCUUGAAGUUGGGAGUAAGAGCAACUAUGGACCGGGUUACUUCGUCUUCGAGACUUCUCAGGGGAAGGAAAUCAAUAAGCUCGUCUCGCAAGAGAAGGGAUACUUGAAGUACCAGAUGAUGCUCUCCAGAGACUCGUACACCCAGAAGCAGACUCCAGGACACGCAAGGGCGCUGGCUCGACCGUAUGAUUCUCACCCAGCACCCACAGCAAGCUCACCGCCAGACGGAGCCUCGACAGCUUCUUACGAGUCAUACCCCUUAGAGGACUUAUAUGAUACCAUCACACCCAGGACUUCUAACUGCGAGGAUUUGCAGGGACAGGGUCGCAAUGUUUCCAAAGUUUCCACCACCCACUCCGUUAAGAGCCUGGACCGACACAUUCAGUCAACAAAACAAAGACAAACUGCUCCUUACACCAAGAUAUCAAGCCAAAGCCUCAAGAUUUUAAGUACCAUGAAAAAUAUUAAGUCCCUUCCUACCCACCCAUUAACAGCGGAUGCUAUCCGUGGUUUGCAGGCUUCUUCCGAGUGCCCCGAGUCUGACGAUCCCUAUUCUAACAUGGAGAGAAUCGAAGACGCCUGGAAGACUCACGGCUACACGCCAGACGAGCCCAUGGAGGGAGAAGACGAGGGUAGUUACGACGUGUUAUCAUACAGGCGGCCGGUACAAAACAUGGAACUCCAUGCGGCCACAGGCUACGGCGAGAGGGUGCAGGUCAACGAGUCAGUCUAUGCCCGCGUCGACUUGGGGAAGAAGAAACAUCGUACUGCAUCCGCUGACGACCAAUGACGCUGAAAGUUACCGAAUGUCCAGCCCAGCGUGGCGGCGAAGCAGACCAACAGAAAUUACCCGGGGCAUAGCUCUCCUUAGACUCUGCUACGCAGUCCACUGUUCGGCACCUCCUACCCCAAGAUCUGCCGCUGAUGCUGUCUGUCGCCAUAUUCUGGUGCCCGAUUUUCUCGAUGAGGUUCUUAAAGUUAAAUAUGCUAGUUAGUUGUUCUCAGAUUAAUUUAUUCUAAACUGUUUUACUCUUUUUAAUGCUACGCUUGAUUUCCGUGUUUGUUGUAAGAAAAAUAUGCCUUUCUUCAUCGCAUUUCUUGGGUGGAUUAAAACUUCCUGUUUAAUAAUAAGUACUUACUAUAGAUGUCUUAUUAUUAGUCGUGUUUAGUCUUGAUAUAACGCCAUUAAAAUGUUAAUCAUUACUCAUCGCCUCACUAAGGACCAUAUUCUGAAGCACCUCUGCUUCCAAUCCCACUACCUGUCAAAGGGGCUAGUUGAGGAAGCGGGUUUUUACGGAUGCAGUGAUAGAUUUCUGUGUCCUUUGGUAAUGAUUGUGAUGAAAAAGCAAAGCCCUUCAGAAUGCGGGCCUAAGCUGGAUGCUGGGCACCUGUUCGCUGCCAGUUUUUUUUUUUUCUUCAUUUAACGACGCAAGCAGUUACGCGGCUUAAAUAAUGCAACACUGUAAUCUUUAUGUUCACACCUUACUGUAAGUAAAUACUGCACUAGACUCUCUCUCUCUCUCUCUCUCUCUCUCUCUCUCUCUCUCUCUCUCUCUCUCUCUCUCUCUCUGUUUUUAAGUACAUUUAUACUGGACAUAUAACAGUAAAAAAUAACCAUGAUUUUAUGAGUAUCAUGCUCCAUCAACGCGAAUGUGAUACACAGUGGUAAAUAAUAAUAACAAUAAUAAUAAUAAUAAUAAUAAUAAUAAUAACAAUAAUAAUAAUAAUAAUGUAAAAUAAAGUAUCAAAAAGUGCCUAGCUUGUGGGUGUCUCGGGUUAUGAUUCUUCGAAACCCUUGAGAAACCAGCAAGACCCCAAAACAAGAAUAACUAGUGGUGGUUCAGUGUCUGGCUGUGGUUGCUGCCUUCAAGUCUUGCAGCGGUACCAUAGUACAUAUCCUCGUUGUGCAGACAGGAACACAAGCAGUCAGUGUGACUGGGAUGAUGUAACAAUGGACAUCAGGAGACUACAGUGAAUGCCCACAAUCCAGCACAAUUGAAGAUGAUGUGCUGGUGAAAAUGUGUUCUUCUUAGCCAUGGAAUGGAAGGCCCAGUUUACAGACGUCUUCCAGGCAUUGGCCAACGCCUCGUCAAACUUGGAGCGGAAAUGGUCUCUUGCUUCGUCCUCGGACAAGUCAAGUUUCUGAAAAGGAAGCCCAGUGGAGAUCAUCAUGGCAAAGAGCGAGAUGAUGAAGGACCCAUACUUCCUCAGUAUUAGGAAUGCCUGCAAGAUGAGUAUCCUUUGAAUUGCUCAAACUCUUCUGACCGCGUCUGUCUGCCCUUGGUGAUGACGUUGAUGAAGUCGUGUGUCAAGACAAAGGGCUGUCUCUCCCUCCUGAUGCCAAACUUCUCUUUGAAGUGACCCAAGAUGUGUCCAAAAUCAAUGUGGAAGAGUUGUCCAUUCUUCAUAACCAUAAUGUUAUCAGAGUGACGGUCAGCAAUCCCCAAGACGUAGGUGGCCACACAGUAACCAGCACAGGAGAGAGUGAACUCAUGGAUUGCCUUGUUAAGCAGUGUCUCAGUAGGGUUGUGGUCCUUCAGCCAUGCUAGUGGGAGGAAAUCAGACAUGUAAGGUGACAGUAUAUUUUGUUGGUGUUACGAUUUGAAUUAUAAUUUCACUUUAUACAAAAUGUGCUCUUCUGAAUGAAGGGCCCAUUUCAUCUGGGUAUUUCUUUCUCCCUUUUAAAUAAUGCAUCCUAUAUUUCAUCCUGCUAAUAUAAAUAAUUAUUAAUUACCUACAUAAAUGUUUCUUUAUUCUAUUUUUAAUGCAGGCUAUUAUAAGACAAGAUGGGAAAUAUAGAAAUUAUUCAAACAUACAUAUAUAUAUAGCACUGGAAGGGAUGACACUGUAUGGGAGGAAUAAUCAAGUAGUUUUGUAUAGCACUGGAAGGGAUGACACUGUAUAGGAGAAAUAAUCAAGUAGUUUUGUACACCUGAGAAAAUGGAAUGCAUAUAUAUUUUUUUAUAGGCAAGGAAUCCUGCUAAAGUAUAUUCUGCAUUUGAGGAUUUAGUUUGUGAAGUUAGCUUGUUAAGUAUACAGACUUUUCAAUCAUACAUUCUGGAUUUUGAUUAGUUUAAAGUGUUUGUACUAUACCUGCUUUUAAUCCAGCAUGAUUUCAAAAUCAAGAAA